UAAGGAAUAUUGGUCAAUGGACGGAAGUCUGAACCAGCCAUGCCGCGUGCAGGAAGACGGCCCUACGGGUUGUAAACUGCUUUUGUACCGGAAUAAACCUCGAUUCGUGAAUCGAGCUGAAUGUACGGUAAGAAUAAGGAUCGGCUAACUCCGUGCCAGCAGCCGCGGUAAUACGGAGGAUCCGAGCGUUAUCCGGAUUUAUUGGGUUUAAAGGGUGCGUAGGCGGCCUAUUAAGUCAGGGGUGAAAGACGGUAGCUUAACUAUCGCAGUGCCUUUGAUACUGAUAGGCUUGAAUGUACUUGAGGUAGGCGGAAUGUGACAAGUAGCGGUGAAAUGCAUAGAUAUGUCACAGAACACCAAUUGCGAAGGCAGCUUACUAAAGUAUGAUUGACGCUGAGGCACGAAAGCGUGGGGAUCAAAC
Molecule: ribosomal RNA, 421 nt
Filed under: uncultured bacterium
Lineage: Bacteria
Description: bacterial SSU rRNA
Rfam family: Bacterial small subunit ribosomal RNA
Source: RNAcentral